Grammomys surdaster is the source of this 107-nucleotide small nuclear RNA. Lineage: Eukaryota; Metazoa; Chordata; Mammalia; Rodentia; Muridae. The record is from RefSeq and is a predicted model, not a curated record.
ACACUCAUUUCAGCAGCACAUAUACUAAAAUUAGAAAGAUACAGAGAAGAUUAGCAUGGCCCUUGCGCAAGGAUGACACACAAAUUUGUGAAGGGUCUCAUAUUUAA